UGAGAUGUUUGCAAGCUGACUUAUUGAUGC
RNAcentral lists this non-coding RNA (30 nucleotides) under Mus musculus (house mouse). Lineage: Eukaryota; Metazoa; Chordata; Mammalia; Rodentia; Muridae. The record is from RNAcentral.